This is a long non-coding RNA of Dreissena polymorpha, 355 nucleotides long. RefSeq lists it as uncharacterized. The transcript has 4 exons. The record is from RefSeq and is a predicted model, not a curated record. NCBI's taxonomy places the organism in Eukaryota, Metazoa, Mollusca, Bivalvia, Myida, Dreissenidae.
GUUUUGACAUAAUCGGACGUCAGUAACACAGGUGGUUAAAUAGAUAAAUAAAUAAUACCAAUAAUCACAAAAUAAUAAAUAUUAGGAUCAUUACUAUUAGCCUUCAAUGUUUUGCAAAUGUUGGAAAACGUGCAGUGGAGAGGAACAGUCCUCCAGACUUGAAACCAUAGUGGAACUUGAGGCUGAAGAGAGAGUUACUGAUGACAUGAUAGAACAUUUGAAGCAGUAACAGAUGUGUUCUAAGAUAAAACAGAUGGCAGGCAGAUGAAACUGGAGCAUAUACAGAGAAAGAAGAAGAAAUUGAUAAGUAACAUGAAGCAUGAUAGAUUUAUUAUGUUAAUUCAUUAAAGAGAAG